AUGUGCCAAGUCCAUGAACAUGCUAAUACACCUACAAUGACCACAAAACAAUGGAAGGAGAAAACCCUAGACACUCCACCCCUGCGGGUGGUGGCCGUCAUUCAUGUGAGUGAGAGGGAGCACACAAGUGAAAACUCAACCACAGUGAGAGGAAGAAAAAGAAGGAGAGAUUCUGUCCAGAUUUGCUGCAUCUCACUAGACAGUGUUCAAGCUAUUGAUUGGAGGCUCGAACGUGCUUGGAUCGACCCCAAACUUGGUGCGCUCGUUUCUUACUUUGAGUACUUGAUAUGGUUAGCUGGUUUGAGGAUUGGGUCAGUAGAGCAUCAGAUUUGA
RNAcentral lists this ribosomal RNA (333 nucleotides) under Triticum aestivum (bread wheat). RNAcentral's name for it is "partial small subunit ribosomal RNA". Lineage: Eukaryota; Viridiplantae; Streptophyta; Magnoliopsida; Poales; Poaceae. The record is from RNAcentral.